This 492-nucleotide ribosomal RNA is filed under the name uncultured bacterium. RNAcentral's name for it is "partial 16S ribosomal RNA". It matches the Rfam family "Bacterial small subunit ribosomal RNA", at positions 29 to 507 of the family's 1533-position model. The record is from RNAcentral.
AGUGAACGCUGGCGGUAGGCCUAACACAUGCAAGUCGAACGGCAGCACAGUAAGAGCUUGCUCUUACGGGUGGCGAGUGGCGGACGGGUGAGGAAUACAUCGGAAUCUACUUUUUCGUGGGGGUUAACGUAGGGAAACUUACGCUAAUACCGCAUACGACCUACGGGUGAAAGCAGGGGAUCUUCGCACCUUGCGCGAUUGAAUGAGCCGAUGUCGGUUUAGUUAGUUGGGGGGGUAAAGGCCCACCAAGGCGACGAUCCGUAGCUGGUCUGAGAGGAUGAUCAGCGACACUGGAACUGAGACACGGUCCAGACUCCUACGGGAGGCAGCAGUGGGGAAUAUUGGACAAUGGGCGCAAGCCUGAUCCAGCCAUACCGCGUGGGUGAAGAAGGCCUUCGGGUUGUAAAGCCCUUUUGUUGGGAAAGGAAAGCAGCAGGUUAAUACCCCGCUGUUCUGACGGUACCCAAAGAAUAAGCACCGGCUAACUUCGUG